RNAcentral lists this ribosomal RNA (429 nucleotides) under uncultured archaeon. RNAcentral's name for it is "bacterial SSU rRNA". It matches the Rfam family "Archaeal small subunit ribosomal RNA", at positions 474 to 903 of the family's 1478-position model. The record is from RNAcentral.
UACCAGCUCUCCGAGUUGUAGGGAUGAUUAUUGGGCUUAAAGCGUCCGUAGCUGGCUGGGCAAGUCCCCUGUUAAAUCCACCGAUUUAAUCGUUGGUGUGCGGGGGAUACUGUUCGGCUAGGGGACGGGAGAGGCCGACGGUAUUUUCGGGGUAGGGGUGAAAUCCUAUAAUCCCGGGAAGACCACCAGUGGCGAAGGCUGUCGGCUAGAACGCGCCCGACGGUGAGGGAUGAAAGCUGGGGGAGCGAACCGGAUUAGAUACCCGGGUAGUCCCAGCUGUAAACGAUGUAGGCUAGGUGUUUGGGCGGCCACGUGCCGCUCUAGUGCCGCAGAGAAGUCGUUAAGCCUGCCGCCUGGGGAGUACGGCCGCAAGGCUGAAACUUAAAGGAAUUGGCGGGGGAGCACCACAAGGGGUGAAGCUUGCGGUUU